Molecule: ribosomal RNA, 1137 nt
Filed under: Flavobacterium sp.
Lineage: Bacteria; Pseudomonadati; Bacteroidota; Flavobacteriia; Flavobacteriales; Flavobacteriaceae
Description: bacterial SSU rRNA
Rfam family: Bacterial small subunit ribosomal RNA
Source: RNAcentral
GGUAUAGUUCUUCGGAACUAGAGACCGGCGCACGGGUGCGUAACGCGUAUGCAAUCUACCUUUUACAGAGGGAUAGCCCAGAGAAAUUUGGAUUAAUACCUCAUAGCAUAGCAAUCUCGCAUGAGAUCACUAUUAAAGUCACAACGGUAAAAGAUGAGCAUGCGUCCCAUUAGCUAGUUGGUAAGGUAACGGCUUACCAAGGCUACGAUGGGUAGGGGUCCUGAGAGGGAGAUCCCCCACACUGGUACUGAGACACGGACCAGACUCCUACGGGAGGCAGCAGUGAGGAAUAUUGGACAAUGGGCGCAAGCCUGAUCCAGCCAUGCCGCGUGCAGGAUGACGGUCCUAUGGAUUGUAAACUGCUUUUAUACGAGAAGAAACACUCCAACGUGUUGGAGCUUGACGGUAUCGUAAGAAUAAGGAUCGGCUAACUCCGUGCCAGCAGCCGCGGUAAUACGGAGGAUCCAAGCGUUAUCCGGAAUCAUUGGGUUUAAAGGGUCCGUAGGCGGUUUAGUAAGUCAGUGGUGAAAGCCCAUCGCUCAACGGUGGAACGGCCAUUGAUACUGCUAAACUUGAAUUAUUAGGAAGUAACUAGAAUAUGUAGUGUAGCGGUGAAAUGCUUAGAGAUUACAUGGAAUACCAAUUGCGAAGGCAGGUUACUACUAAUGGAUUGACGCUGAUGGACGAAAGCGUGGGUAGCGAACAGGAUUAGAUACCCUGGUAGUCCACGCCGUAAACGAUGGAUACUAGCUGUUGGGAGCAAUCUCAGUGGCUAAGCGAAAGUGAUAAGUAUCCCACCUGGGGAGUACGUUCGCAAGAAUGAAACUCAAAGGAAUUGACGGGGGCCCGCACAAGCGGUGGAGCAUGUGGUUUAAUUCGAUGAUACGCGAGGAACCUUACCAAGGCUUAAAUGUAGAUUGACCGGUUUGGAAACAGAUCUUUCGCAAGACAAUUUACAAGGUGCUGCAUGGUUGUCGUCAGCUCGUGCCGUGAGGUGUCAGGUUAAGUCCUAUAACGAGCGCAACCCCUGUUGUUAGUUGCCAGCGAGUCAUGUCGGGAACUCUAACAAGACUGCCAGUGCAAACUGUGAGGAAGGUGGGGAUGACGUCAAAUCAUCACGGCCCUUACGCCUUGGGC